RNAcentral lists this ribosomal RNA (253 nucleotides) under uncultured bacterium. Its description in RNAcentral is "partial 16S ribosomal RNA". It matches the Rfam family "Bacterial small subunit ribosomal RNA", at positions 524 to 776 of the family's 1533-position model. The record is from RNAcentral.
UACGUAGGCAGCAAGCGUUAUCCGGAUUCACUGGGUUUAAAGGGUGCGUAGGCGGACAGGUAAGUCAGUGGUGAAAUCUCCGAGCUUAACUCGGAAACUGCCUUUGAUACUCUCUGUCUUGAAUAUGGUGGAGGUAAGCGGAAUAUGUCAUGUAGCGGUGAAAUGCUUAGAGAUGACAUAGAACACCUAUUGCGAAGGCAGCUUACUACGCCUAUAUUGACGCUGAGGCACGAAAGCGUGGGGAUCAAACAGG